GCUGGCGGCGUGCCUAACACAUGCAAGUCGAACGCGAAAGCCCCGCAAGGGGUAAGUAGAGUGGCAAACGGGUGAGUAACACGUGGGUGACCUGCCUUCGAGUGGGGGAUAACGUCCCGAAAGGGACGCUAAUACCGCAUGACAUCCUGCGUUUGGAAACGCGGAGAUCAAAGCCUGGGAUCGCAAGACCUGGCGCUUGAAGAGGGGCCCGCGCCUGAUUAGCUAGUUGGUGGGGUAACGGCUCACCAAGGCAACGAUCAGUAUCCGGCCUGAGAGGGCGGACGGACACACUGGGACUGAGACACGGCCCAGACUCCUACGGGAGGCAGCAGUGGGGAAUUGUUCGCAAUGGGCGCAAGCCUGACGACGCAACGCCGCGUGGAGGACGAAGAUCUUCGGGUCGUAAACUCCUGUCGAGCGGGAAGAACGCUUCCCGGGUGAAUAAUCCGGGGAAUUGACGGUACCGCUAAAGGAAGCCCCGGCUAACUCCGUGCCAGCAGCCGCGGUAAUACGGGGGGGGCAAGCGUUGUUCGGAAUUACUGGGCGUAAAGGGCUCGUAGGCGGCCAACUAAGUUCGGAUGUGAAAUCCCCAGGCUUAACCCUGGGGAACUGCAUCCGAUACUGGAUGGCUUGAAUUC
Molecule: ribosomal RNA, 638 nt
Filed under: uncultured soil bacterium
Lineage: Bacteria
Description: bacterial SSU rRNA
Rfam family: Bacterial small subunit ribosomal RNA
Source: RNAcentral